AAACCAACAGGGAUUGCCUCAGUAACGGCGAGUGAAGCGGCAAAAGCUCAAAUUUGAAACCCUCGGGAUUGUAAUUUGAAGAUUUGGCAUUGGAGAAAGCUAACCCAAGUUACUUGGAAUAGUACGUCAUAGAGGGUGACAACCCCGUCUGGCUAACCGUUCUCCAUGUAUUGCCUUAUCAAAGAGUCGAGUUGUUUGGGAAUGCAGCUCAAAGUGGGUGGUAAACUCCAUCUAAAGCUAAAUACUGGUGAGAGACCGAUAGCGAACAAGUACUGUGAAGGAAAGGUGAAAAGAACUUUGAAAAGAGAGUGAAAUAGUAUGUGAAAUUGUUGAUAGGGAAGGAAAUGAGUGGAGAGUGGUUUAGGUUUCAGCCUUCUUUCGAGGGGGUGCACUACCAACGCCGAGUCAUUGAUAGCGAGACAGGGGUUAUAAACGGACGGCACUUGUGCUAUCUCCUAACCCCUCUACUGCCACCAACGACAUAAUCCACCCAUUUCACCCGUCUUGAAACACGGACCAA
RNAcentral lists this ribosomal RNA (520 nucleotides) under Yarrowia lipolytica. RNAcentral's name for it is "eukaryotic LSU rRNA". It matches the Rfam family "Eukaryotic large subunit ribosomal RNA", at positions 62 to 669 of the family's 3401-position model. The record is from RNAcentral. Lineage: Eukaryota; Fungi; Ascomycota; Dipodascomycetes; Dipodascales.